UAGCAAUACGAGGGAAAGUCUAGUGGCGAACGGGUGCUUAACACGUGGGCAACCUGCCGGGAAGUGGGGGAUAGCUCGCCGAAAGGCGAAUUAAUACCGCAUGUGAUCAGAGUGGACAUCCAUUCAAAAUUAAAGUCGGGGCAACCUGACGCUUCUUGAGGGGCCCGCGGCCUAUCAGCUAGUUGGUGAGGUAACGGCCCACCAAGGCUUUGACGGGUAGCUGGUCUGAGAGGACGACCAGCCACACUGGGACUGAGACACGGCCCAGACACCUACGGGUGGCAGCAGUUGAGAAUUUUUCUCAAUGGGGGAAACCCUGAAGGAGCGACGCCGCGUGGAGGAUGAAGGUCUUCGGAUUGUAAACUCCUGUCAUUGGGGAACAAUGCGUAAAUAUUAACUGUAUUUGCGUUGAUAGUACCCGAAGAGGAAGAGACGGCUAACUCUGUGCCAGCAGCCGCGGUAAUACAGAGGUCUCAAGCGUUGUUCGGAUUCAUUGGGCGUAAAGGGUGCGUAGGCGGCGCGGUAAGUCGGGUGUGAAAUCUCGGAGCUUAACUCCGAAACUGCAUUCGAUACUGCCGUGCUUGAGGACUGGAGAGGAGACUGGAAUUCUCGGUGUAGCA
Molecule: ribosomal RNA, 620 nt
Filed under: uncultured Verrucomicrobiota bacterium
Lineage: Bacteria; Pseudomonadati; Verrucomicrobiota
Description: bacterial SSU rRNA
Rfam family: Bacterial small subunit ribosomal RNA
Source: RNAcentral